UGGGGAAUAUUGCACAAUGGGCGCAAGCCUGAUGCAGCCAUGCCGCGUGUGUGAAGAAGGCCUUCGGGUUGUAAAGCACUUUCAGCGGGGAGGAAGGCGUUAAGGUUAAUAACCUUGGCGAUUGACGUUACCCGCAGAAGAAGCACCGGCUAACUCCGUGCCAGCAGCCGCGGUAAUACGGAGGGUGCAAGCGUUAAUCGGAAUUACUGGGCGUAAAGCGCACGCAGGCGGUCUGUCAAGUCGGAUGUGAAAUCCCCGGGCUCAACCUGGGAACUGCAUUCGAAACUGGCAGGCUAGAGUCUUGUAGAGGGGGGUAGAAUUCCAGGUGUAGCGGUGAAAUGCGUAGAGAUCUGGAGGAAUACCGGUGGCGAAGGCGGCCACCUGGACAAAGACUGACGCUCAGGUGCGAAAGCGUGGGGAGCAAACAGG
Molecule: ribosomal RNA, 429 nt
Filed under: Chloroflexota bacterium
Lineage: Bacteria; Bacillati; Chloroflexota
Description: Chloroflexi bacterium partial 16S ribosomal RNA
Rfam family: Bacterial small subunit ribosomal RNA
Source: RNAcentral